Molecule: ribosomal RNA, 492 nt
Filed under: uncultured bacterium
Lineage: Bacteria
Description: partial 16S ribosomal RNA
Rfam family: Bacterial small subunit ribosomal RNA
Source: RNAcentral
AGUGAACGCUGGCGGUAGGCCUAACACAUGCAAGUCGAACGGCAGCACAGUAAGAGCUUGCUCUUACGGGUGGCGAGUGGCGGACGGGUGAGGAAUACAUCGGAAUUUACUUUUUCGGGGGGGAUAACGUAGGGAAACUUACGCUAAUACCGCAUACGACCUACGGGUGAAAGCAGGGGAUCUUCGGGCCUUGCGCGAUUGAAUGAGCCGAUGUCGGAUUAGCUAGUUGGCGGGGUAAAGGCCCACCAAGGCGACGAUCCGUAGCUGGUCUGAGAGGAUGAUCAGCCACACUGGAACUGAGACACGGUCCAGACUCCUACGGGAGGCAGCAGUGGGGAAUAUUGGACAAUGGGCGCAAGCCUGAUCCAGCCAUACCGCGUGGGUGAAGAAGGCCUUCGGGUUGUAAAGCCCUUUUGUUGGGAAAGAAAAGCAGCAGGUUAAUACCCCGCUGUUCUGACGGUACCCAAAGAAUAAGCACCGGCUAACUUCGUG